Molecule: ribosomal RNA, 611 nt
Filed under: uncultured bacterium
Lineage: Bacteria
Description: bacterial SSU rRNA
Rfam family: Bacterial small subunit ribosomal RNA
Source: RNAcentral
CGCGGCCUAUCAGCUUGUUGGUGGGGUAAUGGCCUACCAAGGCGACGACGGGUAGCCGGCCUGAGAGGGCGACCGGCCACACUGGGACUGAGACACGGCCCAGACUCCUACGGGAGGCAGCAGUGGGGAAUAUUGCACAAUGGGCGGAAGCCUGAUGCAGCGACGCCGCGUGAGGGAUGACGGCCUUCGGGUUGUAAACCUCUUUCACCCAUGACGAAGCGCAAGUGACGGUAGUGGGAGAAGAAGCGCCGGCCAACUACGUGCCAGCAGCCGCGGUAAGACGUAGGGCGCGAGCGUUGUCCGGAAUUAUUGGGCGUAAAGAGCUCGUAGGCGGCUUGUCGCGUCGGCUGUGAAAUCCCGUGGCUCAACUGCGGGUCUGCAGCCGAUACGGGCAGGCUAGAGUUCGGUAGGGGAGACUGGAAUUCCUGGUGUAGCGGUGAAAUGCGCAGAUAUCAGGAGGAACACCGAUGGCGAAGGCAGGUCUCUGGGCCGAUACUGACGCUGAGGAGCGAAAGCGUGGGGAGCGAACAGGAUUAGAUACCCUGGUAGUCCACGCUGUAAACGUUGGGCGCUAGGUGUGGGGGACCUCUCCGGUUCUCUGUGCCGCAGCU